Molecule: long non-coding RNA, 203 nt
Filed under: Elaeis guineensis (African oil palm)
Lineage: Eukaryota; Viridiplantae; Streptophyta; Magnoliopsida; Arecales; Arecaceae
Description: long non-coding RNA (EGUI_LNC027542)
Source: RNAcentral
UACCAACUAUCCUACAUAGUCCUACCAACUAUUUUACUUAGUCAUUUCAUAGGGACAUGAGAACAAAGAUGGAAGAUUUGCAAACAUGUACAAGUCAAGAUUGAAAAACAGAAGAAGAUCAUUUUAUUUUAGGAAGAAGUUUGGUACAUAGUUGAGGAACAAAAAAUGAAAAUACAGAGCACAAAGCAGAAUAAAGUCUAAGG